Long non-coding RNA from Oncorhynchus masou masou (cherry salmon), 533 nucleotides. RefSeq lists it as uncharacterized. The transcript has 3 exons. The record is from RefSeq and is a predicted model, not a curated record. Lineage: Eukaryota; Metazoa; Chordata; Actinopteri; Salmoniformes; Salmonidae.
UGUGUGUGUGUCUGUGUGUGUGUGUGUGUGUCUGUCUGUCUGUCUGUCUGUCUGUCUGUCUGUCUGUCUGUCUGUCUGUCUGUCUGUCUGUCAGGUUAACUGAAAACCCGCUGGGGGACCUUUUACAACAAGGCACAGUUUUAUGGAGCGUUCAAAAAGGUCAUGAGGCCACCACUGCUGGACGAAGUGAAGCACUCGAUCGCCAUGAUGAAGGCUUUGCCAGAUAUGUUCCCAUCACCUGUGGUUCCACCGAAGAAGUUAGGACAUGAAAGUGAGGCUGUGCUUCACAUGCUUGAGUCUGCAGAAGACCCCAACACCUUUCUUCAGGCGAGACCACUCUUCAGCCCUGUCGUGAUUGUCUGUGUAACCAACUGCUUACUGGCUAUUGGAACCAUGUGCUGACCUUUCCAAAAGAGGACAUAUAUGCCAGCGUGAUGUGUCUCAUGGUGUGUCAUUACGCCUUUCACCUCACAUAUCCUAAGUGCAUUGUGACCUCUCGGACACCAUCCACGUCUGGGAUAUGAUGGUGCCUC